This 497-nucleotide ribosomal RNA is filed under the name uncultured bacterium. RNAcentral describes it as "partial 16S ribosomal RNA". It matches the Rfam family "Bacterial small subunit ribosomal RNA", at positions 28 to 507 of the family's 1533-position model. The record is from RNAcentral.
GAUGAACGCUGGCGGCGUGCCUAAUACAUGCAAGUCUAGCGAACGGACGAGAAGCUUGCUUCUCUGAUGUUAGCGGCGGACGGGUGAGUAACACGUGGAUAACCUACCUAUAAGACUGGGAUAACUUCGGGAAACCGGAGCUAAUACCGGGUAAUAUUUUGAACCGCAUGGUUCAAAAGUGAAAGACGGUCUUGCUGUCACUUAUAGAUGGAUCCGCGCUGCAUUAGCUAGUUGGUAAGGUAACGGCUUACCAAGGCAACGAUGCAUAGCCGACCUGAGAGGGUGAUCGGCCACACUGGAACUGAGACACGGUCCAGACUCCUACGGGAGGCAGCAGUAGGGAAUCUUCCGCAAUGGGCGAAAGCCUGACGGAGCAACGCCGCGUGAGUGAUGAAGGUCUUCGGAUCGUAAAACUCUGUUAUUAGGGAAGAACAUAUGUGUAAGUAACUGUGCACAUCUUGACGGUACCUAAUCAGAAAGCCACGGCUAACUACGUG